UCUGUCCUUGGUGAAGAAAAAAUGACGGUAGCCAAGGAGGAAGCCCCGGCUAACUACGUGCCAGCAGCCGCGGUAAUACGUAGGGGGCGAGCGUUGUCCGGAUUUACUGGGCGUAAAGGGUGAGUAGGCGGUUAUAUAUGUCAGAUGUAAAAGGCUAUGGCUUAACCAUAGUUGGCAUUUGAAACUGUAUGACUUGAGUGCAGGAGAGGUAAGUGGAAUUCCUAGUGUAGCGGUGAAAUGCGUAGAUAUUAGGAGGAACACCAGUGGCGAAGGCGACUUACUGGACUGUAACUGACGCUGAGUCACGAAAGCGUGGGUAGCAAACAGGAUUAGAUACCCUGGUAGUCCACGCUGUAAACGAUGAGUGCUAGGUGUUGGCCAGCGAUGGUCAGUGCCGCAGUAAACACAUUAAGCACUCCGCCUGGGGAGUACGUACGCAAGUAUGAAACUCAAAGGAAUUGACGGGGACCCGCACAAGCAGCGGAGCAUGUGGUUUAAUUCGAAGCAACGCGAAGAACCUUACCAAGGCUUGACAUCCCCUUGACCAGUGCAGAGAUGCACUCUCUCCUUCGGGAGCAAGGGUGACAGGUGGUGCAUGGUUGUCGUCAGCUCGUGUCGUGAGAUGUUGGGUUAAGUCCCGCAACGAGCGCAACCCUUAUCCUUAGUUGCCAGCAGGUAAAGCUGGGCACUCUAGGGAGACUGCCGAUGAUAAAUCGGAGGAAGGUGGGGAUGACGUCAAAUCAUCAUGCCCCUUAUGUCUUGGGCUACACACGUGCUACAAUGGUCGGUACAACGGGGAGCGAAGGAGUGAUCUGGAGCAAAUCCCAAUAAACCGAUCUCAGUUCGGAUUGUAGGCUGCAACUCGCCUACAUGAAGUCGGAGUUGCUAGUAAUCGCGAAUCAGAACGUCGCGGUGAAUGCGUUCCCGGGUCUUGUACACACCGA
Molecule: ribosomal RNA, 944 nt
Filed under: Clostridium sp. enrichment culture
Lineage: Bacteria; Bacillati; Bacillota; Clostridia; Eubacteriales; Clostridiaceae
Description: bacterial SSU rRNA
Rfam family: Bacterial small subunit ribosomal RNA
Source: RNAcentral